Molecule: ribosomal RNA, 459 nt
Filed under: uncultured bacterium
Lineage: Bacteria
Description: partial 16S ribosomal RNA
Rfam family: Bacterial small subunit ribosomal RNA
Source: RNAcentral
CCUACGGGUGGCAGCAGUGAGGAAUAUUGGUCAAUGGGCGAGAGCCUGAACCAGCCAAGUCGCGUGAGGGAAGACGGUCCUAUGGAUUGUAAACCUCUUUUGCCGGGGAGCAAAAAGCGGUACGGGUACCGCAUCGAGAGUACCCGGAGAAAAAGCAUCGGCUAACUCCGUGCCAGCAGCCGCGGUAAUACGGAGGAUGCGAGCGUUAUCCGGAUUUGUUGGGGUUAAAGGGUGCGCAGGCGGCGAGGUAAGUCAGCGGUAAAAUUUCGGGGCUCAACCCCGACAAGCCGUUGAAACUGGCGUGCUAGAGUGGGCGAGAAGUAUGCGGAAUGCGUGGUGUAGCGGUGAAAUGCAUAGAUAUCACGCAGAACUCCGAUUGCGAAGGCAGCAUACCGGCGCCCAACUGACGCUCAGGCACGAAAGCGUGGGUAUCGAACAGGAUUAGAUACCCGGGUAGUC